Molecule: ribosomal RNA, 250 nt
Filed under: uncultured prokaryote
Description: partial 16S rRNA
Rfam family: Bacterial small subunit ribosomal RNA
Source: RNAcentral
ACGUAGGGGGCGAGCGUUGUCCGGAAUUACUGGGCGUAAAGGGUGCGUAGGUGGCCUUUUAAGUUGGAUGUGAAAUACCCGGGCUUAACUUGGGGGGUGCAUCUAAUACUGGAGGGCUAGAGUGCAGGAGAGGAAAGCGGAAUUCCUAGUGUGGGGGUGAAUGGGUUAGAUUUAAGGAGAACCCCCGGGGCGAAGGGGGGUUUUUGGAAUUUUACUUGCAACUGAGCACGAAAGCGUGGGGAGCAAACAG